UACGGGGGGGGCAAGCGUUGUUCGGAAUUACUGGGCGUAAAGGGCUCGUAGGUGGCCAACUAAGUCAGACGUGAAAUCCCUCGGCUUAACCGGGGAACUGCGUCUGAUACUGGAUGGCUUGAGAUUGGGAGAGGGAUGCGGAAUUCCAGGUGUAGCGGUGAAAUGCGUAGAGAUGUGGAGGAACACCGAUGGCGAAGGCAGCCUCCUGGGCCAGCACUGACGCUCAUGCACGAAAGCGUGGGGAGCAAACAGG
RNAcentral lists this ribosomal RNA (253 nucleotides) under uncultured bacterium. RNAcentral's name for it is "partial 16S ribosomal RNA". It matches the Rfam family "Bacterial small subunit ribosomal RNA", at positions 524 to 776 of the family's 1533-position model. The record is from RNAcentral.